This 817-nucleotide ribosomal RNA is filed under the name Bacillus atrophaeus. RNAcentral's name for it is "bacterial SSU rRNA". It matches the Rfam family "Bacterial small subunit ribosomal RNA", at positions 62 to 860 of the family's 1533-position model. Lineage: Bacteria; Bacillati; Bacillota; Bacilli; Caryophanales; Bacillaceae. The record is from RNAcentral.
UCGAGCGGACAGAUGGGAGCUUGCUCCCUGAUGUUAGCGGCGGACGGGUGAGUAACACGUGGGUAACCUGCCUGUAAGACUGGGAUAACUCCGGGAAACCGGGGCUAAUACCGGAUGCUUGUUUGAACCGCAUGGUUCAGACAUAAAAGGUGGCUUCGGCUACCACUUACAGAUGGACCCGCGGCGCAUUAGCUAGUUGGUGAGGUAACGGCUCACCAAGGCAACGAUGCGUAGCCGACCUGAGAGGGUGAUCGGCCACACUGGGACUGAGACACGGCCCAGACUCCUACGGGAGGCAGCAGUAGGGAAUCUUCCGCAAUGGACGAAAGUCUGACGGAGCAACGCCGCGUGAGUGAUGAAGGUUUUCGGAUCGUAAAGCUCUGUUGUUAGGGAAGAACAAGUGCCGUUCAAAUAGGGCGGCACCUUGACGGUACCUAACCAGAAAGCCACGGCUAACUACGUGCCAGCAGCCGCGGUAAUACGUAGGUGGCAAGCGUUGUCCGGAAUUAUUGGGCGUAAAGGGCUCGCAGGCGGUUUCUUAAGUCUGAUGUGAAAGCCCCCGGCUCAACCGGGGAGGGUCAUUGGAAACUGGGGAACUUGAGUGCAGAAGAGGAGAGUGGAAUUCCACGUGUAGCGGUGAAAUGCGUAGAGAUGUGGAGGAACACCAGUGGCGAAGGCGACUCUCUGGUCUGUAACUGACGCUGAGGAGCGAAAGCGUGGGGGAGCGAACAGGAUUAGAUACCCUGGUAGUCCACGCCGUAACGAUGAGUGCUAAGUGUUAGGGGGUUUCCGCCCCUUAGUGCUGCAGCUAACGCAU